This 75-nucleotide transfer RNA is filed under the name Barnesiella intestinihominis. Its description in RNAcentral is "tRNA-Arg". It matches the Rfam family "tRNA". Rfam says of the family: Transfer RNA (tRNA) molecules are approximately 80 nucleotides in length. Their secondary structure includes four short double-helical elements and three loops (D, anti-codon, and T loops). Further hydrogen bonds mediate the characteristic L-shaped molecular structure. tRNAs have two regions of fundamental functional importance: the anti-codon, which is responsible for specific mRNA codon recognition, and the 3' end, to which the tRNAs corresponding amino acid is attached (by aminoacyl-tRNA synthetases). tRNAs cope with the degeneracy of the genetic code in two manners: having more than one tRNA (with a specific anti-codon) for a particular amino acid; and 'wobble' base-pairing, i.e. permitting non-standard base-pairing at the 3rd anti-codon position. Lineage: Bacteria; Pseudomonadati; Bacteroidota; Bacteroidia; Bacteroidales; Barnesiellaceae. The record is from RNAcentral. RNAcentral also lists the same sequence under 5 other names.
GCCCUUGUAGUUCAAUGGAUAGAACGGAAGUUUCCUAAACUUUAAAUCCGAGUUCGAUUCUCGGCGAGGGUACAA